GAUGAAGAACGUAGCGAAAUGCGAUACUUGGUGUGAAUUGCAGAAUUCAGUGAAUCAUCGAGUCUUUGAACGCACAUUGCGCCCCCUGGUAUUCCGGGGGGCAUGCCUGUCCGAGCGUCAUUGCUGCCCUCAAGCACGGCUUGUGUGUUGGGCCUCCGUCCUCCUCCCGGGGGACGGGCCCGAAAGGUAGCGGCGGCACCGCGUCCGGUCCUCGAGCGUAUGGGGCUUCGUCACCCGCUCUUGUAGGCCCGGCCGGCGCUUGCCGACACAUCAAUCUUUUUUCCAGGUUGACCUCGGAUCAGGUAGGGAUACCCGCUGAACUUAAGCAUAUCAAUAAGCGGAGGA
Molecule: unclassified non-coding RNA, 345 nt
Filed under: soil metagenome
Description: partial contains 5.8S ribosomal RNA, internal transcribed spacer 2, and large subunit ribosomal RNA
Rfam family: 5.8S ribosomal RNA (bases 1-120)
Source: RNAcentral